CCUACGGGUGGCAGCAGUGGGGAAUAUUGGGCAAUGGGCGCAAGCCUGACCCAGCAACGCCGCGUGAAGGAAGAAGGCUUUCGGGGUGUAAACUUCUUUUAAGAGGGAAGAGCAGAAGAGGGUACCUACUGAGUAAGCCCCGGCUAACUACGUGCCAGCAGCCGCGGAAAUACGUAGGUGGCAAGCGUUAUCCGGAUUUACUGGGUGUAAAGGGCGGGUAGCCGGGCUGACAAGUCAGAGGUGAAAGCCCGUGGCUCAACCAUGGAACUGCAUUGGAAACUGUCGGUCGAGAGUGUCGGAGAGGCAGGCGGAAGUCCUAGUGUAGCGGUGAAAUGCGUAGAUAUUAGGAGGAACACCAGUGGCGAAGGCGGCCUACUGGACGGCAACUGACGGUGAGGCGCGAAAGCGUGGGGAGCAAACAGGAUUAGAUACCCUUGUAGUC
Molecule: ribosomal RNA, 442 nt
Filed under: uncultured bacterium
Lineage: Bacteria
Description: partial 16S ribosomal RNA
Rfam family: Bacterial small subunit ribosomal RNA
Source: RNAcentral